GACGAACGCUGGCGGCGUGCUUAACACAUGCAAGUCGAACGGAAAGGCCCUGCUUUUGUGGGGUGCUCGAGUGGCGAACGGGUGAGUAACACGUGAGUAACCUGCCCUUGACUUUGGGAUAACUUCAGGAAACUGGGGCUAAUACCGGAUAGGAGCUCCUGCUGCAUGGUGGGGGUUGGAAAGUUUCGGCGGUUGGGGAUGGACUCGCGGCUUAUCAGCUUGUUGGUGGGGUAGUGGCUUACCAAGGCUUUGACGGGUAGCCGGCCUGAGAGGGUGACCGGCCACAUUGGGACUGAGAUACGGCCCAGACUCCUACGGGAGGCAGCAGUGGGGAAUAUUGCACAAUGGGCGGAAGCCUGAUGCAGCAACGCCGCGUGCGGGAUGACGGCCUUCGGGUUGUAAACCGCUUUCGCCUGUGUCGAAGCGUGAGUGACGGUAAUGGGUAAAGAAGCACCGGCUAACUACGUG
This 468-nucleotide ribosomal RNA is filed under the name uncultured bacterium. RNAcentral describes it as "partial 16S ribosomal RNA". It matches the Rfam family "Bacterial small subunit ribosomal RNA", at positions 28 to 507 of the family's 1533-position model. The record is from RNAcentral.